RNAcentral lists this long non-coding RNA (200 nucleotides) under Capsicum annuum. RNAcentral's name for it is "long non-coding RNA (CANN_LNC000197)". The record is from RNAcentral. Lineage: Eukaryota; Viridiplantae; Streptophyta; Magnoliopsida; Solanales; Solanaceae.
GAGAUCAUGGUGGCUAAGAGGAGAAGGAAAGACACUUCCAAGGCAUUAUCAAUCAUCAAAAAAAGAAAGAUUGUAAUGCCUCUGUCUUUGUCUUGCACCGAUGUUCAGUGUGCAAGGGCCACAGAAGAGCAGCAUGAGCUGAAGAAGGUGAAUGUACAUCAUCUGUUCUAAAAAACAAACAAGCACAUAUCUGUUUCAAC